CCUACGGGUGGCAGCAGUGAGGAAUAUUGGUCAAUGGGCGCGAGCCUGAACCAGCCAAGUAGCGUGAAGGAUGACUGCCCUACGGGUUGUAAACUUCUUUUAUAAAGGAAUAAAGUGAGGCACGUGUACCUAUUUGUAUGUACUUUAUGAAUAAGGAUCGGCUAACUCCGUGCCAGCAGCCGCGGUAAUACGGAGGAUCCGAGCGUUAUCCGGAUUUAUUGGGUUUAAAGGGAGCGUAGGUGGAUUGUUAAGUCAGUUGUGAAAUUUUGCGGCUCAACCCUAGAAUUGCAAUUGAUACUGGCAACCUAGAGUGUAGAUGAGGUAGGCGGAA
Molecule: ribosomal RNA, 331 nt
Filed under: uncultured bacterium
Lineage: Bacteria
Description: partial 16S ribosomal RNA
Rfam family: Bacterial small subunit ribosomal RNA
Source: RNAcentral